RNAcentral lists this unclassified non-coding RNA (370 nucleotides) under rhizosphere metagenome. RNAcentral describes it as "partial ribosomal RNA internal transcribed spacer region". The record is from RNAcentral.
GUAGGUGAACCUGCGGAAGGAUCAUUAACACGUAUCCAAACGUUAAAACCCCCCUGUGAACCUUCAACACCAAAAAGGGUCCUGCAAAUAGUUUGGGCAACCCCCAGUAAAUCAUUGUAUGAAUCAGAUUUUGAGUUAGGGGCUUCUCUGGGCACCGCGGUGAGCAGGUUUUUCCACUGUCUCAAAGCUUGCGUAAGGAGUUGGCGCAGUCAACGAAUCAAGGGGCCGACACCCUGCGACCGGGACCCUUUGAGCGGGUAACACGGCUGCACCCCAGAUGAAAAUCUGGCAUGACAGAGAGACGGCCGGCGCCGAAAGGUUGUAGGCACAAAAAAACGAACAACUGUUAACAAUGGAUAUCUUGGUUCUC